This 83-nucleotide transfer RNA is filed under the name Acidobacteriota bacterium. RNAcentral's name for it is "tRNA-Leu". It matches the Rfam family "tRNA". Rfam says of the family: Transfer RNA (tRNA) molecules are approximately 80 nucleotides in length. Their secondary structure includes four short double-helical elements and three loops (D, anti-codon, and T loops). The record is from RNAcentral. Lineage: Bacteria; Pseudomonadati; Acidobacteriota. RNAcentral also lists the same sequence under 3 other names.
GCCGGAGUGGCGGAAUGGCAGACGCGGCGGACUCAAAAUCCGUUGCCCGCAAGGGCGUGUGGGUUCAAGUCCCUCCUCCGGUA